RNAcentral lists this long non-coding RNA (255 nucleotides) under Dasypus novemcinctus (nine-banded armadillo). RNAcentral's name for it is "lncRNA (ENSDNOG00000049846.1)". Lineage: Eukaryota; Metazoa; Chordata; Mammalia; Cingulata; Dasypodidae. The record is from RNAcentral.
CGUCUGUCUGUCAGGAGGCAGAGAGGUGGUGGACUGGAUUUUGCUUUAUCACAGGAGUUCUUCACCAGAAACUACCUGCAGCCCGGAGACUGCUUCCAUCACGUUUUUAUAUACAACCAAGAUUAAGUCCAGCAUUAUUUGAAAUCACAGGUUUGCAGAUCCCUUCUUUUCAUGGGUUAAAGAAAACAUAUCCUGCUCUGCUGCAUUGAAAAUGGAAAACUACAAAAGUCGGAUUUUCUUGUCUUUUGUCCCCAU